This 446-nucleotide ribosomal RNA is filed under the name uncultured bacterium. RNAcentral's name for it is "partial 16S ribosomal RNA". It matches the Rfam family "Bacterial small subunit ribosomal RNA", at positions 338 to 795 of the family's 1533-position model. The record is from RNAcentral.
CCUACGGGGGGCAGCAGUCGAGAAUCAUUCACAAUGGGGGAAACCCUGAUGGUGCGACGCCGCGUGGGGGAAUGAAGGUCUUCGGAUUGUAAACCCCUGUCAUGUGGGAGCAAAUUAAGAAGAUAGUACCACAAUAGGAGGAGACGGCUAACUCUGUGCCGGCAGCCGCGGUAAUACAGAGGUCUCAAGCGUUGUUCGGAAUCACCGGGCGUAAAGCGUGCGUAGGAGGUUUCGUAAGUCGGGUGGGAAAGGGGCGGGCUCAACCCGCGGGUGGCACAUGAUACUGCGAGACUAGAGUAGUGGAGGGGUAAGCGGAAUACUCGGUGUAGCAGUGAAAUGCUUAGAUAUCGAGAAGAACACUCGUGGCGAAGGCGGGUUCCUGGACAUCAACUGACGCUGAGGCACGAAGGCCAGGGGAGCGAAAGGGAUUAGAUACCCCUGUAGUC